GAAUGCGAGUAAUGGUUGGUUUUGCAAAAGCUGAUUAGGGUUGUUGUGAUUGACCCCGUGUUUU
This 64-nucleotide transfer RNA is filed under the name Echinococcus multilocularis. Its description in RNAcentral is "tRNA-Cys". Lineage: Eukaryota; Metazoa; Platyhelminthes; Cestoda; Cyclophyllidea; Taeniidae. The record is from RNAcentral.